UGCUUCCCUCAUGGGAAUCAAGUAGCCUUUGGGAGUCAUGGCUUCUGGUGGUGACUGAGCUCAGGGCUGACUACCAGCCCCUAGCAAAGGCAUCUUAUGCCAUCCUUCCCACCAUCACUCUGUGUAAAACAGAUUCUGUUCUGUGCCACGUGGACACUGCUAUUCCAGGCAACAAGAAAGUUCACGCAGCGGGUUUGAUGUAGUGGAUGCCAGCUCAGGAAGUUCUGCGCAUGCGCGGCACCGUUUCCCAGCACCACGCUUGAUUGUGACUUCCACAGAGAUCCUGGACCUUUGGGAAGGAAGACCGGACCACCCAAACAACCAAGCAGCUCUCUGAGAACUAGGCUGGGCUCAGGAAGAAGAGGAUGCCAGAUCAAGCCGGUCACUUCUCCAGCUGCCUCUGUACAGGCGAUCUUAUCACAAAAAGCCCGAUCACCACAGCUUCUCCAGUUCCAUCAUGGCUGACUCCUCCAGCCAGCUCGGAGAGUGAUUUCAAAAUCCCAAGAGCCCAUGAAAACCGCACAGCCAUCAUCAACACAGAUUUUGGCUUAGUUCAGUGAGGACCUGGAGGCCACAUCAGGUCACAUGCUUGGUGAUGGGAAUGGUCGCAGAAAUAGCAUUUUAACCACUAUGGCUGCCAGAGCGUCCAUGGACUGUUACCACUCGCUGUUUGUGCAGUGAGAUCCACUUCCACUAGCCUGUAGGCUGUUGGAUCCAUAAUGUACCGUGAGUAUAGGGCAAUGUAUCAUGAGAGAUGGAGCAGAAGGUCCCUGGGUUCAGCCCUUCUGAGGAGAUCACUAAAUUUAUGUGUACAGUGUAUGUGGUCAUGUUUGCAUACAUGUGUGUUCAGAUAUGUUCAGAGGUCAGAGGUUGAUGUCAAAUGUUUUCUGUUGCUUUGAGAGUGAGUUUUACUAAAUGCAGAGCUUAUCAAUUCUUGGCUAGCCAGCUACUAGCUAUUGAACUCCAGGGAGCCUCUAGUCUGUGCUUUUCCGUUCUCCCCAGUACAGCGGUUACAGGCAUGUGCUGCCAUGCCCAGCUUUUUACAAGGGUGCAAGCACUUUAUAAGCUGAGCUAUCUCCCCAAUUCCAUAAAUGUGCUCUCCAGUCCUACCCCCUAUGCCUGCACCUUUGGGCACCUCUCUGCGUGGAGCUGUAAUUGACCCACGUCCAUCUGGCAGGGCAUGGGGCAUCAUGGUUGAUCCCAGAGGCUCCAAGGUCAAAGGGUCUGGAUGCUAAUUCAAAGCUCAGAGCUCUUCUGGUGGUUGGGCAAUUGACUGGGCCUCAGUGUCCUGUUAAUGAGAGAACAAGGCAGCCAAGGACAGAACUAAUGCAUGCAAAUUGCUACCCCUUUGUAAUUACCAGAUUAGUGCAUUCUGUCAUUCUCCAGCCUUGCCAGUCAGAGGAACCCCUCCAGUCCACCACCGCCACCAGCUACCACCUAGGUCCACUCAGCAAGCACUUUAAGGACACUUAUUUGCCUCUCAAUAGAAGACUCCAGUGGCCCAUCCC
Molecule: long non-coding RNA, 1508 nt
Organism: Mus musculus (house mouse)
Lineage: Eukaryota; Metazoa; Chordata; Mammalia; Rodentia; Muridae
Product: predicted gene, 32952
Exons: 3
Source: RefSeq, a predicted model, not a curated record